AGCGAACGCUGGCGGCAGGCCUAACACAUGCAAGUCGAACGAACUCUUCGGAGUUAGUGGCGGACGGGGGAGUAACACGUGGGAACGUGCCUUUAGGUUCGGAAUAACUCAUGGAAACUUGAGCUAAUACCGGAUGUGCUCUUCGGGGGAAAGAUUUAUCGCCUUUAGAGCGGCCCGCGUCUGAUUAGCCUGUUGGUGAGGUAAAGGCUCACCAAGGCGUCGAUCAGUAGCUGGUCAGAGAGGAUGAUCAGCCACAUUGGGAGUGAGACACGGCCCAAACUCCUACGGGAGGCGGCAGUGGGGAAUCUUGCGCAAUGGGCGAAAGCAUGACGCAGCCAUGCCGCGUGAAUGAUGAAGGUCUUAGGAAAGUAAAAUUCUUUCACCGGGGACGAUAAUGACGGUACCCGGAGAAGAAGCCCCGGCUAACUUCGUG
RNAcentral lists this ribosomal RNA (433 nucleotides) under uncultured bacterium. RNAcentral's name for it is "partial 16S ribosomal RNA". It matches the Rfam family "Bacterial small subunit ribosomal RNA", at positions 29 to 507 of the family's 1533-position model. The record is from RNAcentral.